This 451-nucleotide ribosomal RNA is filed under the name uncultured bacterium. RNAcentral's name for it is "partial 16S ribosomal RNA". It matches the Rfam family "Bacterial small subunit ribosomal RNA", at positions 29 to 523 of the family's 1533-position model. The record is from RNAcentral.
AGCGAACGCUGGCGGCAGGCCUAACACAUGCAAGUCGAACGCCUGUAGCAAUACAGGAGUGGCAGACGGGUGAGUAACACGUGGGAACGUGCCCUUCGGUUCGGAAUAACUCAGGGAAACUUGGGCUAAUACCGGAUACGUCCGCGAGGAGAAAGAUUCAUCGCCGAAGGAUCGGCCCGCGUCCGAUUAGCUAGUUGGUGGGGUAAUGGCUCACCAAGGCGACGAUCGGUAGCUGGUCUGAGAGGAUGAUCAGCCACACUGGGACUGAGACACGGCCCAGACUCCUUCGGGAGGCAGGAGUGGGGAAUAUUGGACAAUGGGCGCAAGCUUGAUCCAGCCAUGCCGCGUGGGUGAUGAAGGCCCUAGGGUUGUAAAGCCCUUUCGGCGGGGAAGAUAAUGACGGUACCCGCAGAAGAAGCCCCGGCUAACUUCGUGCCAGCAGCCGCCGUAA